GGGGUUGUGGCUCAGUGGCAGAGCACUCGCCUAGCAUGUGUGAGCCCUGGGUUUAAUCCUCAGCACCA
Molecule: transfer RNA, 68 nt
Filed under: Ictidomys tridecemlineatus (thirteen-lined ground squirrel)
Lineage: Eukaryota; Metazoa; Chordata; Mammalia; Rodentia; Sciuridae
Description: Spermophilus tridecemlineatus (thirteen-lined ground squirrel) tRNA
Rfam family: tRNA
About the family: Transfer RNA (tRNA) molecules are approximately 80 nucleotides in length.
Source: Rfam by way of RNAcentral